CCUACGGGUGGCAGCAGUGGGGAAUAUUGCACAAUGGGGGAAACCCUGAUGCAGCGACGCCGCGUGAGUGAAGAAGUAUUUCGGUACGUAAAGCUCUAUCAGCAGGGAAGAAAAUGACGGUACCUGACUAAGAAGCCCCGGCUAACUACGUGCCAGCAGCCGCGGUAAUACGUAGGGGGAAAGCGUUAUCCGGAUUUACUGGGUGUAAAGGGAGCGUAGACGGCAGCGCAAGUCUGGAGUGAAAGCCCAUGGCUUAACCAUGGAACUGCUUUGGAAACUGUGCAGCUAGAGUGCAGGAGAGGUAAGCGGAAUUCCUAGGGUAGCGGUGAAAUGCGUAGAUAUUAGGAGGAACACCAGUGGCGAAGGCGGCUUACUGGACUGUAACUGACGUUGAGGCUCGAAAGCGUGGGGAGCAAACAGGAUUAGAUACCCCAGUAGUC
RNAcentral lists this ribosomal RNA (440 nucleotides) under uncultured bacterium. Its description in RNAcentral is "partial 16S ribosomal RNA". It matches the Rfam family "Bacterial small subunit ribosomal RNA", at positions 338 to 795 of the family's 1533-position model. The record is from RNAcentral.